GCCGAGAUAGCUCAGCUGGGAGAGCAAUAGACUGAAGUUGUUAUUCGGUAAAUCUAGAGGUCCCGUGUUCAAUCCACGGUCUUGGCA
Non-coding RNA from Gloeophyllum trabeum ATCC 11539, 87 nucleotides. The record is from the annotation of a RefSeq genome assembly. NCBI's taxonomy places the organism in Eukaryota, Fungi, Basidiomycota, Agaricomycetes, Gloeophyllales, Gloeophyllaceae.